GCUUCUUUUCCCGCGCGUCGCGAGCGAGCGCGGGUGGCAGAGAAGGAAGUGACGCACCGCGACACGCCCAGCAUCUUCUUGAGCUCCUCCUUGAGGUGGAUGGGCAGCGGCAGGUGGCACAGGAUGGUGCGCAUCUUCUUUUCCCACGCCGCGUUGCACGCUAGCUCCAAGAUCUCGGCCGGUACUCCAGCCCGGCUGCCAGGAAGACUAGUUUAUUGAAUGCACUGCAAGAGGAUGACGUGCUUCCACCAUAUUAAAAAAAAAAUCCUUAAUAAGACCUCAACAGAAGUGGAGGAAAUAGAGGUAGUCGCGGAACUUGGAAGCUUACGAAGUUUGUUUGGAAAAGAGCUGGCUUGGACCAUGACAGAAGGGAGCGAUGGAAACAAACUCAACUUUUUCG
Molecule: long non-coding RNA, 400 nt
Organism: Grammomys surdaster
Lineage: Eukaryota; Metazoa; Chordata; Mammalia; Rodentia; Muridae
Exons: 4
Source: RefSeq, a predicted model, not a curated record